AACUCCCCGACCAGGGAUCGAACCCACACUCCCUGCAUUGGAAGGUGAAGUCUUAACCUCUGGAAUGCUAGGAAAGUCCCCAUGAUGGGCUUUAUAGGCCCUAGAAUACCAUUUCUCAACCCAUUAGAUUUCAAUGGACCUCAGGGUUAUAACGAAUGUUUUGGCCAACAAAGAAAAAGAAAUUGAACUGAAAAAGGCCCAGAACUCAUCAUGCAGCCUCUACGCUCUCUCUAGCUAGCCUUCUUGAAGGUUUAAUUGACAAAAUAGACAUUGUCUCUACGGUGAUCUUUCUCCCGGAACUUUUUUUAAUACCAUUUUUCUACAUCAAAGAGUAAAGCUUUAAAGGUAGACUUACCAAUGGCUCUGUGAGGGAUCUCCUUUGUGUUUACAUGAUUUAGUAUAUGCACCACUCAUUGUUCUAAUACAUUUUUAAAGUAGAACUCUUUUCAUGUCUGCAAAGAUCUUUCACAGAUCUUUCUCAGUCCUGAAGAUAUCUAUCUGUUCUUCUUGGACAAAACAAACAAAGAAACCCUUGGCUACAAAAUGCUAUGUAGGGAUUAAACCACCAUCUGACUCUGAAUUCUUGAGUUCUUCCUGUCCAUGUACCCACAGUUAUUCACCUUUCUUUAAAUAUAAUUAAUGUAUACAUUUUUUAAAGUCAUACGAGAAAUAGUAAGUGAACGUUAAGUAAUAGAAUUAAUUGAAGCAGCAGAGGUUAAUCACAAAGUAUGUGUGUAUUUAUUCUAGAAGCCAUUCGUCCGGAAUGUGUAUACAGAUAUUUGGACCUAAUGUACGAGUUAACACACAUCAUACUAUGUUUUACAUUUUCAGUUAAGAUUCAUCAUUGUUUCCUGAUUGAUCCCAGUCUUUGUAAUUAUGAUUAUAAUUUUAUAAAGUCAGAAAGUGUCUAACUGAUCAACAGUGACAGAGUAUUAACAGAAAAUGCGUUCAUUCUUACUUAUCACAAUAUUUCAUGAUUUUGAAUGACACAUACCCACUCAGUAGUGUUUAUGUAUUUGCAAAUCCUGAUCUACUGAAGCAGGUUUGCUUCGUUUCUUCUUACUUGAUACUGAAUAUUGCUUGCAGCACUUCUCAAGACCUUUCACCAUCUAUAUAUUUAUAUUGUAUAUUUAAUAAUAAGACAAUUGCUGAAGGACUGAAUUAUUGGCUCAAUUGCAUGCUAACACAUUCUUUAUAGACUAUUUUCCCAGUAUGAGUUUUCUGAUGAAUAGCAAGUGAAAGAUUUUCCACAUUGUCUUUAGAAUUGGCAUCUCCUCAGUGUGAGCACUUUCUUGUUCAGUCAGGAAUAAGGAAUCACUGAAUAAUGUCUUUCCUUCAUUACACUGAGACUAUUUUUUCAGUGUGAACCCUCUCAUGUCUAAAGACUCCAUGACUAAUGGAACUCUAGCAUUCAUUUCAUCGGAUUUCUUCUACAGCAGUGAUUAGAUGGUUUACCCCAAGAGGGCUCUCCUCGUAGUAAACCUUGGGAUGUCUUCUCUACUGUGUCAGGGAUGCAGCCCACUCUGAGUUCUCUGUGUAUUCUGAGGCUGGAGCUCCAACUGAAGGCUCUUCCACCAUGAUUACAGGGUCAGGGUUUCUCUCCACAUGACUUUCCUGUGGUUUAAAAGGGAUAAUUUCUGGCUGAAGGCUCAAUAUCACUGAUUACAAACACAGGGUGUCUACUCGGUAUGAAUUCUCUGGUGUUGAUAAAAGUGGGAGCUCUGGGUAAAGGCUGCACCACAUGGAUUCCAGACAUAGGGUGGCUCUCCUGUGAGUUUUCUAGUGUGUAUAAGCAUGAGAGCUGCGUUUAAAGGCUUUUCCACAUUCAUUGCAUUUGUAGGCUUUCUCAUUAGUGUGAAUUCUCCCCCAUGACUAAGGUUAUGGCUAUGACUAAGUGUUUUCUCACAUAAAUGAUAUUCCUUGUGGUUUCUCUCCUGUGUGAAUGUGCUCAUGUUAUUGAAGCGUUGGAUGGUCACUGAAAGCUCUUCCACAGUCAUUCCAAACAUAGGGCUUCUCUCCCGUGUGAGUUUAUUGGUGUGAAUAAAAGUCAGCUCUGUCUCUGCAUUACCUUGAUAAGGUUCGUCUUCUCUAGUGUGAGCUGUUGGUGUAUAAAUGCGAGGCUUCAGCUGAAUUAUUUCCCACGUUCAGCACAUUUGCAAGAGUCACUCCAGAGUGCACUCUCUCAUGUUGUCUAAGGUUGGAGGGUGACUAAAAACCUUCCACAUUCUGAGAUCUGCAUGGUUUCCCUCUAGUAAAAUUAGCUUAUGUUAAUUCAGUGACGAAUAACGGCUGAAGUCUCUUCCAUUCGGGCUGAAAGUGUAACACACGUGGAGUUAAGGUUGUUGUAUGUGACAUGUCCUCAUAUUCAUUGCAUUCAGUGGGCUCUUCUCCAGCAUGAAAUCCCUGCUAUUGACAAGGAAAGAGAGGCUGUUAAAAAUUACUCACAUAAUAAUCAUUCAGUCAUUUCUCUACAUGUGACUUCUAGGCGGCUUCCUCAGUGAUGGUCUUCAUUGAAAAUCUCCCCAUGUUAGUUACAUUCACAGAUUUAUCUGCUUGAUUUCCGCAUUGUCCCUGCAUAAGGAUGCAGAGGAGGGCAGAUGGUGGCAGAGUUCCUGAUAAUGAAACAACAGGUCAUCCCUUGGGUUCAGUGGCUUCCUUCAUCAUGUUACUGGCUGCAGUGGACUUAGGAAUGCGGUGAACACAGGGGAUAGAGAAUGACUCAGAACAGAAAUCUCUAGGCCAGUGGGGAGCAGACGUUUCAUCAGAGUAUCUGAUUGCUUGAAGAUGAUGAAGGAGGGUUUUGGGAUGCAGAAUUUUCUAAAUCCAUCUGGAAGCUUGGGAACCUCUCCCUCCAGCCACAAGGCCCUGCCCCACACACUGCAGCAACCAAUCUGGAAAACCAGACUCCAACCACCGCAACAAUGCACCCCAAGGGUCAGGACUUGGUCAGUGACUCACAGCUUCAUCAUUUUCAGUCCUUUCCAUGUAGAAUCAAAUGCGGGGAAAGCCAAAUAUGUCCCCUUAAGUAAUCACUUAGGACGACCCUCUUCCUAUCAACUUGUCUCCAGCCUCCUCACAUCACAAGCUCUCGGGGGAGCACAUGCCUUCCUUUUUUUGCCACCAGAAAGUGUCCCCACUCUUAUGUGCCCUGAGUCUCAGCCUGAUGUGAGUGGUGGUGGCUGACUCCUGUGCUCUAUAGACAAGUUCUGAGUAAAUAGUGCUUGUUCUCA
This is a non-coding RNA of Globicephala melas (long-finned pilot whale), 3230 nucleotides long. NCBI's taxonomy places the organism in Eukaryota, Metazoa, Chordata, Mammalia, Artiodactyla, Delphinidae. The record is from RefSeq and is a predicted model, not a curated record.